Molecule: ribosomal RNA, 468 nt
Filed under: Geonemertes pelaensis
Lineage: Eukaryota; Metazoa; Nemertea; Enopla; Monostilifera; Prosorhochmidae
Description: partial 16S ribosomal RNA
Rfam family: Eukaryotic large subunit ribosomal RNA (bases 1-132)
Source: RNAcentral
AGUUUUUUGUAGCUUAAUUAAAAAUGUUUCCUGCUCAAUGAUUCUUAAAUAGCCGCAGUAAUUUGACUGUGCAAAGGUAGCGUAAUAAUUUGCCUCGUAAUUUGGGGCUUGAAUGAAUGGAAUAACAAGAUUUUUGCUUUAUUUUUUGAAAUGAUAUAAUUUUCUUUUUUAGUGAGGAAGCUGAAAUUUUUUUAUGGGACAAGAAGACCCUUUUGAUCUUUAUUAAUUUUUUUUUUUUUAAAUUUUUUUAAUUUGGUUGGGGCGAUCUUGGAAGUAUCUGUAUUUUUGAUCUUCCUUUAUUACUUUGAUUUAUUUUUUUGAUUAGUGGAUUUAGUUACCAAAGGGAUAACAGCGUAAUUUUUUUUGUGAGUUCUUAUUUAAAAUAUAAAUUGCGACCUCGAUGUUGAUUUAUGGUUUUCUUUUGGUGUAGUAGCUGAAUARAUAAGUCUGUUCAACUUUUAAUGCCUU